CCUACGGGAUCUGCAGUGGGGAAUAUUGGACAAUGGGCGAAAGCCUGAUCCAGCCAUGCCGCGUGUGUGAAGAAGGCCUUCGGGUUGUAAAGCACUUUCAGUGGGGAAGAAAGCCUUGGGGCUAAUACCCUCGAGGAAGGACAUCACCCACAGAAGAAGCACCGGCUAACUCCGUGCCAGCAGCCGCGGUAAUACGGAGGGUGCGAGCGUUAAUCGGAAUUACUGGGCGUAAAGCGCGCGUAGGCGGUCUGAUAAGCCGGUUGUGAAAGCCCCGGGCUCAACCUGGGAACGGCAUCCGGAACUGUCAGGCUAGAGUGCAGGAGAGGAAGGUAGAAUUCCCGGUGUAGCGGUGAAAUGCGUAGAGAUCGGGAGGAAUACCAGUGGCGAAGGCGGCCUUCUGGACUGACACUGACGCUGAGGUGCGAAAGCGUGGGUAGCAAACAGGAUUAGAUACCCGAGUAGUC
Molecule: ribosomal RNA, 464 nt
Filed under: Vreelandella stevensii
Lineage: Bacteria; Pseudomonadati; Pseudomonadota; Gammaproteobacteria; Oceanospirillales; Halomonadaceae
Description: partial 16S ribosomal RNA
Rfam family: Bacterial small subunit ribosomal RNA
Source: RNAcentral